This 430-nucleotide ribosomal RNA is filed under the name uncultured bacterium. RNAcentral describes it as "partial 16S ribosomal RNA". It matches the Rfam family "Bacterial small subunit ribosomal RNA", at positions 354 to 796 of the family's 1533-position model. The record is from RNAcentral.
GUGGGGAAUAUUGCACAAUGGGCGCAAGCCUGAUGCAGCAACGCCGCGUGAGGGAUGACGGCCUUCGGGUUGUAAACCUCUUUUAGUAGGGAAGAAGCGAAAGUGACGGUACCUGCAGAAAAAGCACCGGCUAACUACGUGCCAGCAGCCGCGGUAAUACGUAGGGUGCAAGCGUUGUCCGGAAUUAUUGGGCGUAAAGAGCUCGUAGGCGGCUUGUCGCGUCUGCUGUGAAAUCCCGGGGCUCAACCCCGGGCCUGCAGUGGGUACGGGCAGGCUAGAGUGCGGUAGGGGAGAUUGGAAUUCCUGGUGUAGCGGUUGAAUGCGCAGAUAUCAGGAGGAACACCGAUGGCGAAGGCAGAUCUCUGGGCCGCUACUGACGCUGAGGAGCGAAAGCAUGGGGAGCGAACAGGAUUAGAUACCCUGGUAGUCC